This 354-nucleotide RNase P RNA is filed under the name human oral metagenome. RNAcentral describes it as "Bacterial RNase P class A". It matches the Rfam family "Bacterial RNase P class A". Rfam says of the family: Ribonuclease P (RNase P) is a ubiquitous endoribonuclease, found in archaea, bacteria and eukarya as well as chloroplasts and mitochondria. Its best characterised activity is the generation of mature 5'-ends of tRNAs by cleaving the 5'-leader elements of precursor-tRNAs. Cellular RNase Ps are ribonucleoproteins. The record is from RNAcentral.
UAGAUGAUCGCUUGCUACUUGGCAAGAGGAAAGUCCGGGCAGCACAGGAUACGACAGUCGCUAACGGCGACCGGGGGUAACCCUAGGGAAAGUGCCACAGAAACGAUACCGCUCCGCAACACCAAUACUCGUGCGCAGUAGCGCUCUAAGUAGCGGGGUAAGGGUGAAAGGAGUGAGGUAAGAGCUCACAGCGCUGCAUGGUGACAUGCCGCGGAGGUAAACCCUGUUGGCUGCAAGGAGAUAGCCACGGAUGAGUGAUCCGCUUGUGGCUAUCGCUAACCGCUCGAUUUGCAGAGCAAUUUGCAAACUAGAUAGAUGAUCAUCCACGACAGAACCCGGCUUAUCGAUAGGCUG